This 440-nucleotide ribosomal RNA is filed under the name uncultured bacterium. RNAcentral's name for it is "partial 16S ribosomal RNA". It matches the Rfam family "Bacterial small subunit ribosomal RNA", at positions 338 to 795 of the family's 1533-position model. The record is from RNAcentral.
CCUACGGGCGGCAGCAGUGGGGAAUAUUGCACAAUGGGGGAAACCCUGAUGCAGCGACGCCGCGUGAGCGAUGAAGUAUUUCGGUAUGUAAAGCUCUAUCAGCAGGGAAGAAAAUGACGGUACCUGACUAAGAAGCCCCGGCUAACUACGUGCCAGCAGCCGCGGUAAUACGUAGGGGGCAAGCGUUAUCCGGAUUUACUGGGUGUAAAGGGAGCGUAGACGGCAGCGCAAGUCUGGAGUGAAAUUCCAUGGCUUAACCAUGGAACUGCUUUUGAUACUGUGAAGCUGGAGUGCAGGAGAGGUAAGCGGAAUUCGUGGUGUAGCGGUGAAAUGCGUAGAUAUUAGGAGGAACACCAGUGGCGAAGGCGGCUUACUGGACUGUAACUGACGUUGAGGCUCGAAAGCGUGGGGAGCAAACAGGAUUAGAUACCCCGGUAGUC